AUUGAACGCUGGCGGCAUGCCUAACACAUGCAAGUCGAGCGGAUGAACGGAGCUUUCUCCUCUAUGCAGCUGCCGACGGGUGAGUAAGGCCUAGGAAUCUACCUGAUAGUGAGGGAUAACGUCCGUAAACGGGCGCUAAUACCGCAUACGUCCUUAGAGAGAAAGGGGUGGAUCUUCAGACCUAACGCGAUCAGAUGUCACUAGGACGUAUUAGCUAGUUGGUUUGGUAAAGGCUUACCAAGGCGACGAUCCGUAACUGGUCUGAGAGGAUGAUCAGUCACACUGGAACUGAGACACGGUCCAGACUCCUACGGGAGGCAGCAGUGGGGAAUCUUGCACAAUGGGCGAAAGCCUGAUCCAGCCAUGCCGCGUGUGUGAUGAAGGUCUUCGGAUUGUAAAGCACUUUAAGUAGGGAGGAAGGGCAGUAAGAUAAUCUCUUGCUGUUUUGACGUUACCAACAGAGUAAGCACCGGCUAACUUCGUG
This 484-nucleotide ribosomal RNA is filed under the name uncultured bacterium. RNAcentral describes it as "partial 16S ribosomal RNA". It matches the Rfam family "Bacterial small subunit ribosomal RNA", at positions 30 to 507 of the family's 1533-position model. The record is from RNAcentral.